RNAcentral lists this ribosomal RNA (443 nucleotides) under uncultured bacterium. RNAcentral's name for it is "SSU rRNA". It matches the Rfam family "Bacterial small subunit ribosomal RNA", at positions 26 to 518 of the family's 1533-position model. The record is from RNAcentral.
AGAGCGAACGCUGGCGGCAGGCCUAACACAUGCAAGUCGAGCGCCCCGCAAGGGGAGCGGCAGACGGGAGAGUAACACGUGGGAACGUACCCUUUGGUUCGGAACAACGCAGGGAAACUUGCGCUAAUACCGAAUAAGCCCGAAAGGGGAAAGAUUUAUCGCCAGUAGAUCAGCCCGCGUAGGAUUAGCUAGUUGGUGGGGUAAUGGCCCACCAAGGCUCCGAUCCUUAGCUGUUCUGAGAGGAAGAUCAGCCACACUGGGACUGAGACACGGCCCAGACUCCUACGGGAGGCAGCAGUUGGGAAUCUUGGACAAUGGGGGAAACCCUGAUCCAGCCAUGCCGCGUGAGUGAUGAAGGCCUUCGGGUUGUAAAACUCUUUCGACGGGGACGAUAAUGACGGUACCGUAGAAGAAGCUCCGGCUAACUUCGUGCCAGCAGCCGC